AAACCUUUUGUCGGCCAGCUCAGGGACAAGCUACACUAUUCGCAUCCCUCAUUAACAAUCAAACUGCUGAAUGACAGGUGUUGGGCGUAGCUUUAUAGUGCACCACGGAGAAGGUGAAAGGUAAGUCCACGACCUUAAAAGGCAGGGAGUGGACAGGCAGGAGAGGGAGAACUGAGUAUUUUCUUUUCUAUUAUAAUUUUGGGCUCCGAAGGAGAACUUUAAUACACCGCGGUCAUACGUUUUGCCAUAGCAUUCCAAUUACCUACAGAAGGUUUUGAUGUCACGACAGCUGGAAAAGCGAAGGAGAGGGACCAUGCACUCAGGGGUAUUUACGAGGGUGCUGAUACUGUCAGUUGUCACUGAUCCUAUCCCAGCUCAUAAACCCUGAGGUCUUCACUUUGGUGGUCCCUCAUGGUCCGAUCUUGACCCGGAUAAACGACCUCCCUCUCCCUACCUUGUGAACUCUCACCUCUCUUCAGUGCAGAGCCGUUGGAGGUGCGUUGGUACCGGCCUGGUAACUUCAACCGACCUGCCUUGUUAUAAAAGGACCACAGCAUCCAGGCAUCUAUGGACCCCCGUUACAGGAGCAGGGUGUCUCCAACUGGGGGGCUGGAGAGAGGGAACGUGUCCCUGACACUGGAGAGGGUCACACUGGAAGACAGGGGGGAGUAUGUGUGCCGUGUCAGCAGCGAACAGUGGUAUGAAAAGGCCAGUGUGUCCCUCACACUGAUUGUAUUAGGUGGUAUCCCUGUUUUGUCUCUUGCUGAAGCAAGAGGAGGAGGAGGCCAGGUGAACAUCACCUGUCCAUCAGUGGGCUGGUCACCUCAACCUAAACUCACCUGGAAAAACAAAGGCGCAGAGCUCAGAAAUGUACAAGAAGUACUCUACACACAUGAUUCUCAGGGCUUGUUGAGUGUCAGUAGUUGGCUGCUGUAUUCUCCCUCAGACUCCGAUUGGCUCUCCGAUUGGCUCUCCGAUUGGCUCUCCUGUACAAUCUCCCUGUCUGAGGAGGAGAGAGAGAGAGAGAGAGAGAGAGAGCAGAAUCCUGCCACAGAUAUACCAGCCUGGUGAAUGAGUGUCCUACAGACAGCAUUCACACAUUCAGAUCCCACUUACUUCCCAUCCCAGAAAUGAUCUGCUGUAAGAGGACUGUGAACAUGCUGAAGAUGUGUCUCUAUCGUUCUAUCUUUCCGCCUUAUGAGCGCUUAUGAAUUUGAUUUUCCUGUGUGCAGAAGCCUGGAGAGAAGCAUUUAUUGCAUAUUUGGUCCUGUCUCUGCUCCUCCUCUCUGCUCUCGCAUCUGUGGUCAUCAUGCUGGGCAAACAAAGAAGUAUAUAAUAGUCUCUGGCAUGGCUGUCGUCACAAAAAAAAGGCAAAGGCAGCCCAGCAGAAGUUGAGCUUGAGCAGAGGCCAGAUACAAGGCACCUAAUUGAAGAGGCAGGACACAUCGAUGAGAAACAACCUGUUGAAAAAGUUAAAAAUCGAAAGUUAAGUAAAGUUUACUUGAAUCUAAUGUUCCUAACAAUGUGAAUCUAAAUUGUAUCAUCUCAGUGUUUUCCAUUGACUUCGUAUUUGCUUUUAUGCAGACUGGCUCCAGGUGAAAGUAUUCAAAGAACGUCACCAUGGAUGUCCAGACUCCUUCCCUUGCUUUUAAAGUGAGUGAAAAAGGGAAAAAAAAGGCUCAGUUCAGCGCAGGAGAAGAUAAAGAUUACUCAAACAGGCAUCCCCAUGUGUUGGGUAAAGAGCGUUUUGACUCUGGACAGCACUACUGGGAAGUGAAGGUGGGGGGGUCAUUUUACAGAAACGAUGUCAUGGUAUAUCGGUGUGGCCAGAGAAAAUGCUGAGAGAACAUUCUGUCAUUCCUUUAACUCCUCAGUAUGGUUUCUGGAUUUUAUUUUCUGGAAAUGUUUCCAUGUAAAAAAAACAACUAACCCUCCAAAACAAGUAGCUGUGGCAGAAUAUCUUUCCAUAGUAGGAGUGUUUCUAGACGGUGACAGGCAGACUCUGGUCUUUUUAUAAUGUUGAGACACAGUCACAUCUCUACACUUUUACUGAUGAGGUAUCAAACGACUUUCUCCCUGUGUUCAGCCCUGGAAAAAGUGAUAAACGUGUUUUGUUGAAUAAAUACUAAGAUGACGGUUAAAAUACGUCAAAUGAGG
Molecule: RNA transcript, 2157 nt
Organism: Oncorhynchus kisutch (coho salmon)
Lineage: Eukaryota; Metazoa; Chordata; Actinopteri; Salmoniformes; Salmonidae
Gene name: butyrophilin subfamily 3 member A1-like
Exons: 10
Source: RefSeq, a predicted model, not a curated record